AAGUCGUAACAAGGUUUCCGUAGGUGAACCUGCGGAAGGAUCAUUAACACGUAUCCAACGUUAAACCCCCCUGUGAACCUUCAUUGUGCUCCCCCAUUCCGUUAGGACGCGGCAAUCCCUGGUAAAUCAUCGCCGAACAGUUUUGAUUCAGGGACCUCUGCAUGGAGUGGGCUUGCAGUAACGAUCGCUAGAGGCCGACACGGCCGGCGACCGGGUCACUGGGCUCACGCCCCCCUAUCACCUUUGCAUGAAAACGGGCCUGCGCUUAAUUGUGCGGCCACCAAACUCGAACAACUGUUAACAAUGGAUAUCUUGGUUCUC
RNAcentral lists this unclassified non-coding RNA (321 nucleotides) under fungal sp. RNAcentral describes it as "partial internal transcribed spacer region". The stretch from base 1 to 46 matches the Rfam family "Eukaryotic small subunit ribosomal RNA", at positions 1786 to 1831 of the family's 1831-position model. Lineage: Eukaryota; Fungi. The record is from RNAcentral.